UAGGGAAUAUUGGACAAUGGGCGGAAGCCUGAUCCAGCCAUGCCGCGUGGAGGAAGACGGCCCUCUGGGUUGUAAACUCCUUUUGAAAGGGAAGAAACCUCUCUAUUUAUGGAUGAGCUGACGGUACCUUUCGAAUAAGCACCGGCUAACUCCGUGCCAGCAGCCGCGGUAAUACGGAGGGUGCAAGCGUUAUCCGGAUUUACUGGGUUUAAAGGGUGCGUAGGCGGUUUUUUAAGUCAGUGGUGAAAUACCCGUGCUCAACAUGGGAAUUGCCAUUGAUACUGAAGGACUUGAAUAUGAGUGAGGCAGGCGGAAUGAUGCAUGUAGCGGUGAAAUGCUUAGAUAUGUUUCAGAACACCUAUUGCGAAGGCAGCUUGCUAAUUCAUGAUUGACGCUGAGGCACGAAAGCGUGGGGAGCAAACA
RNAcentral lists this ribosomal RNA (423 nucleotides) under uncultured bacterium. RNAcentral's name for it is "bacterial SSU rRNA". It matches the Rfam family "Bacterial small subunit ribosomal RNA", at positions 355 to 774 of the family's 1533-position model. The record is from RNAcentral.